CAUCUCAGCAGUUAGAGAAAACAUAGGGAGGUGUCCUGGCCAGGCCUCCCUGCAGGCUGCCCAGUGCACCUGCCACCCCCAAACCCUCCCAGUUCAAGGUAGGCUCAGGGGACCAUCCCCUCCUCUGCAGGCGCAGGAUGAGAUGACCUAGGAAACCUCCACAAGGCAAAUCACAUCCAUUUGAUCUUGAAUAAAAGGCUGCUCCGGUGUCUGAAGCGACAACUCCCUGGUGGGUGAUGUCAUGCUGUUUUGUUUGUCUCCAUGGACCAUACAGAUCCGAUUUCAGUUUUGAAGAAAAUGGUCUGGGGAAAAAGGUUAGUUCAUUUGGAAAAUUCCGAGAAGACAAAAAUACAGUUUGCAGCUGAUGAAAGUGCGGUCACAGGCAGACAAUGGCUUUGAGGUGGAAGACGAGCUCCCGAGGGGCUGGGUCCUUCACCACCCACCCUCCCCCUGCCACCCACAGCCCUCCUUCUCUGGUGCUUCUGGCAGGAUCCCCAGCAACCCCCUCUCUGCCCAGGAGACCCCACAAGCCAGUGGCAGGUUGGCUGGGGAUGUGUUUUCCCUGGUCCCCCUCCUAAAUUUCCUCCUGCCCAGUCCACCCCGGAGCAUCUGGCACAGUGCUGCCCACAUUGCUCCUAAUGGCUGCCCUCCAUUUCUGAGGUGCUGUUAAAGCAAAUUAAAAAUAAUAUCUCAUUGUUUUCAUUUCUUAUUCACGUUCUAGCCUUUCAAUCUCUUGUGAAUCCUUUUUGCUUUUUUUUUUUUUUUUUUUUUUUUUUUUGUCUUUUUAGGGCCGCACCUGCAGCAUAGGGAGGUUCCCAGGCCAGGGGUCAAAUCAGAGCUGUAGCUGCCACAGCCAUAGCCACAGCAAUGCAGGAUCCCAGCUGCAUCAGCAACCUACACCAUAGCUCACAGCAAUGCUGGAUCCUUAAUCCACUGAGCAAGACCAGGGAUCGAACCUGCAUCCUCAUGGAUACUAGUCAGGUUCAGGUCCGUCGAACCACGAUGGAAACGUCCCCUUUUUGCUUUUGAAAUUCUUUUCUUUCUUUUCACUACAUACAGCCAGUACAGUGAGAUAGAGGGAGAAAACAGGGCUAAACUUCUAUUGUGCUUUUCCAGAGUGUAAUUCCCAGUCCAGCACCCCGGUGCUGAGCCCCUGCCAGGCAAGACCAGGGCAGAGAUUGCUCACAUCCAGGGGCAAGUUUUCAAGAAAUGUCACCUCCCCCUGCCCUCCCUCCCUCCCUCUAGUUUCAAUUUUAUAAAAACAGUAUGUCAAGAUUACAGACUUUUGGAAGGCAAGAGAAAGUCUCCCCAACCCAGCCCCUCUUUCCAUCCUUCUGUUUGCCUGGUGCCAGGUCCCUAAGUCACUGAGCCCCUCAUUCUGUCUUCCCUGUCCCCCAACCCCUAGUUUGGGGCACCCUUUUCCCGGAGCCUGGCUCAUGGCAUUCCCAGGCUCUGGGAGCUGGUCUUCCUUGACCCUUGCUCACAGCUUCUUAUUUCCAUCCUAGACUCAGUUUUUCAGCACCACGGAGCUCCCUGUGUUCAUCCUGAUUACAUGAAGCCCUUCCCUUUGGGCUAAGUUCUUGGCAGUGCAUGCCUCGUGGCUUGGGUGACCACAUGACUCCACCCCGAGGGCCCACUGCUGCCAUCCUGCUGUUCUGAGCUGGGCCUUGACACGGCUCUGGGCACAGCAGGUGCCCCCAGGCUGUAGGGUCAGAGUGGGGGCUCUUGGACCGUGAGAAGCCCACCUUCCUUCAUGUCCCAGUCCCUCCUCCACCCAGCUCCUGGCCACGUGGAACUUCAGUGAACAUCUGAGGAACCAAGGGGAGGGCUUUCAGCCCUUCAGGCAAAGCAUCAGGCAGAUGAUUGAAGAAUGAAAACAAAGCCAAAGCUUCUUUAAAAGUCCCCAUUAACCCAAUUAGUCAAAUCCUGAAGGGGCCUUUGUCUUAAUGGAAUUCUCCCAUAUCUCACUACGACUUGAAAUAAAAGAUCCAUCAGUUUGCAUGGAGGAAAUGUGGAUUUUCACCCUCCUGGGAUUUGGCUUCUAGAACUGAGUAGUUUUCCUCCCAGCUCAGUGCUGUCCCAUGGAAAUGCGAUGCAAGCCACGGAAAGAACUCUACUUAUUUAUUUUUAAAUUUUUAAUAAAAUAUAUUUGAUUUACAAUGUUGUAUUUGUUUCAGGUAUACAGUGAUUCAGGUAUAUGUGUGUAUAUAUACACAUAUAGAUAUAAUAUAGCUUUUCUUACAUUCUCUUCCAUUAUAGGUUAUUACAACGUAUUGAAUACAGUUUCCUGUGCUAUAUAUCUAUAGUAAGCCCUUAGUUAUGUAUUUUAUAGUAGUGUGUUUGUUUUAAUCCCCAACUCCUAAUUUAUUCCUCUCCUUCCCCCUACUUUAACCAUAAGUUUGUUUUCUAUGUCUGUGGGUCUACUUCUGUUCUAUAAAUAAGUUCAUUUGUAUCUUUUUAUGAGUGAUGGCAUGUGUUUGUCUUUCUCCAUCUGACCUACUUCACUUAGUAUGGUAUUCUCUAGGUCCAAUACAUUAUAUCAUCACUGAAGGAAUUUUGAAAAAUAAUAAGAAUCACAUUUUUAAAAAAUUGUAAGAAACAGGUACAUUUAAUUUUUAUAGUAUAUUUUAUCUAACCCACCAUAUCCCCGAGAGGAAGAUGGAAUCAGUGUUUAAGAAAUACUAGUGAGCUAUGUUCCAUUCAUUUUUUGUACUAAGUCUGAAUUUUUUCACAUCUCAGUCUGGACUGGCCACAGUUCAGGUGCUCAGGAGCCACCUGGGGCUCGUGACUAAUGUUAGACAGUGACAAAGGUCACCUAUCAUGGAAUUUGACCCUAGGAAGUGAGCACUGGCUCUGAGAAAACAGCUGCAGCCCAGCAAACCAGAGCCCCUAGUCUAUCUAAGAUCUUAGGGCACAACCAAACACAGGACGAGUCCAAAGACUCCCCAGUUUUCUCAUUCCUGCCAUGGGGUGGGAUUCCUCCAGAGCCAUCUUUGUAGUCUCAGACUGGUCAGGUCCCGGCUGGGAGGCUGGGGGUGGGACAUUUGCUCGCUCUGGAGAAACUUCAUUAAUUCAAUCAACAAGUAUUCCUGCACAGCUUCUAUGCGCCAGGCACCGUUCAAGGACUUGGGAUACAGCAGCGAACAGAACAGAUUCCUGCCCUUGAAUAGACAGCCCACAAAAAGUAAGGAAAAGAAGUAAGCAGAUCCAAGAGUGUAUUAGAGAAUUGUUAAGCUCUAUGGAACAAACAAACAAAAAAGAGCAAGGUAAGGAAGUAAGUGCUGGGAUGGGGCACGUUUUUUUUUGUCUUAUCUAGGGCCGCACCCGUGGUAUAUAGAGGUUCCCAGGCUAGGAGUCGAAUCAGAGCUGGAGCCACUGGCCUAAGCCACAGCCACAGCAACAUAGGAUCCGAGCCGUGUCUGUGACCUAUAACACAGCUCAUGGUAACGCCAGAUCCUUAACCCACUGAGCAAGACCAGGGAUUGAACCAGCAACCUCAUGGUUCCUAGUCAGAUUCGUUAACCACUGAGCCAUGAAGGAAACUCCUGUAUUGGAAGAUUUGAAGGAGGUGAGAAAGUUGGCCUGUAGAGCAUCCAGACAGAACAUCCAGAGCAAAGACCCUCAGGUGGGCAGGAAUAUACCUGACAUGUUCAAGAAACAGCAAAAAGGCCAGUGUGUCUGGAGAGAACCGGGCAAGAGGAAAAUUAUUCGGAGAUGAAAUCACAGGGAGAAGGCGAGAUAGGGGGAGGCUAGACCACUCAGGGCCUUGCAGUCAUUGCAAGGACAAUGGCUUUUAUUUUGAGAAAAUCAUUAUAGAAUUUUGAAUAGGAUUGUUCUGACUUGAAUGUUAAUGGGGUCACUCUGGUUGCUAUGUUGAGAAUAGAGUGGAGGAGGGCAAGAGCGGAAAGAGGAGAGCCAGUCAGGAGUCUCUUUCAACCAUUCAGGUAAAAGAUGAUGGUGCUUGGACCAGGGUAGUAGCAAUGAGGAUGAUGAAGAAUAGACAGACUAUGUUUUCAAGGUAGAGCCAGUGGGAGAAAGAAGAGUCAAGGAUGAUUCCUGGGGUUUUGAUUUGAGCAAGUGGUAAGAUGACAGGGCCAUCUACAGAGAUAGGAAAGUCUGCACGUAGCCAGGUUGAUAGGGGAGGACCAGGAGUUUUGAACAUGUUGAGUUGGACAUGUCCAUUCAACAUCCAAAUAGAAAGGUUAAAGAGGCAGUUGGAUUGAUGAGUCUAGAAUUCGGGAAAGAGGUGAGAGCUUGAGUUAGGAAGGAGAUCCCAGCAUAAGGGUGGAAUUUUGACUCAGUGAAGUCAUCUGAAGAGUGAGUACAGAGAAGAGGACCUGAGACACUCCAGCAUUAAGAGUUUGGGAAGAUUGGAGUUCCCAUCGUGGCACAACAGAAAUGAAUCCGACUAAGAACCAUGAGGUUGCUGGCUCAAUCCCUGGCCUCACUCAGUGGGUUAAGGAUCGGGUGUUGCCGUGAGCUGUGGUGUAGGUUGCAGAUGCGGCUUGGAUCUGAUGUGGCUGUGGCUGUCGUGUAGGCUGGCAGCAGGAACUCUGAUUUGACCCCUAGCCUGGGACCCUCCAUAUGCCACUGGUGCAGCCCU
This 4603-nucleotide long non-coding RNA is filed under the name Sus scrofa (pig). Its description in RNAcentral is "lncRNA (ENSSSCG00000057022.1)". The record is from RNAcentral. Lineage: Eukaryota; Metazoa; Chordata; Mammalia; Artiodactyla; Suidae.